CCUACGGGAGGCAGCAGUGGGGAAUCUUUCGCAAUGGGCGAAAGCCUGACGCAGCGACGCCGCGUGAGGGAUGAAGGUCUUCGGAUCGUAAACCUCUUUCAGCAGGGAAGAACAUUCACUGUGCUAAUCAGCAGUGAAUUGACGGUACCUGCAAAGUAACCACCGGCUAACUCCGUGCCAGCAGCCGCGCUAAUACGGAGGGUGCGAGCGUUAAUCGGAAAUACUGGGCGUAAAGCGGUCGUAGGCGGUAUGUCAAGUCAAGGGUGAAAUCCCCGCGCUCAACUUGGGAACUGCAUUUGAAACUGGCAAACUGGAGUAUGUGAGAGGAUAGUGGAAUUCCAGGUGUAGGAGUGAAAUCCGUAGAUAUCUGGAGGAACAUCAGUGGCGAAGGCGAGUAUCUGGCACAUAACUGACGCUGAGGAGCGAAAGCGUGGGUAGCAAACAGGAUUAGAUACCCCAGUAGUC
This 465-nucleotide ribosomal RNA is filed under the name uncultured bacterium. Its description in RNAcentral is "partial 16S ribosomal RNA". It matches the Rfam family "Bacterial small subunit ribosomal RNA", at positions 338 to 795 of the family's 1533-position model. The record is from RNAcentral.